Molecule: ribosomal RNA, 301 nt
Filed under: uncultured bacterium
Lineage: Bacteria
Description: partial 16S ribosomal RNA
Rfam family: Bacterial small subunit ribosomal RNA
Source: RNAcentral
CAGCAGCCGCGGUAAAACGGAGGGAGCUAGCGUUGUUCGGAAUUACUGGUCGUAAAGCGCGCGUAGGCGGUUACUCAAGUCAGAGGUGAAAGCCCGGGGCUCAACCCCGGAACUGCCUUUGAAACUAGGUGACUAGAAUCUUGGAGAGGUCAGUGGAAUUCCGAGUGUAGAGGUGAAAUUCGUAGAUAUUCGGAAGAACACCAGUGGCGAAGGCGACUGACUGGACAAGUAUUGACGCUGAGGUGCGAAAGCGUGGGGAGCAAACAGGAUUAGAUACCCCCGUAGUCCCUGUCUCUUAUAC